AGAACGAACGCUGGCGGCAGGCUUAACACAUGCAAGUCGAACGCGUGUAGCAAUACACGAGUGGCGCACGGGUGAGUAACGCGUGGAUAUCUGCCUUUUGGUUCGGAAUAACCCCGGGAAACUGGGGCUAAUACCGGAUGGUUCCUACGGGAUAAAGAUUUAUCGCCAAAAGAUGAGUCCGCGUACGAUUAGCUAGUUGGUGAGGUAAUGGCUCACCAAGGCGACGAUCGUUAGCUGGUCUGAGAGGACGAUCAGCCACACUGGGACUGAGACACGGCCCAGACUCCUACGGGAGGCAGCAGUGGGGAAUAUUGGACAAUGGGGGCAACCCUGAUCCAGCCAUGCCGCGUGAGUGAUGAAGGCCUUGGGUUGUAAAGCUCUUUUGGCGGGGACGAUGAUGACGGUACCGCAGAAUAAGCCCCGGCUAACUUCGCGCCAGCAGCCGC
RNAcentral lists this ribosomal RNA (446 nucleotides) under uncultured bacterium. RNAcentral describes it as "SSU rRNA". It matches the Rfam family "Bacterial small subunit ribosomal RNA", at positions 26 to 518 of the family's 1533-position model. The record is from RNAcentral.